GUCGGGAUAGCUCAGUCGGUAGAGCAGAG
Molecule: transfer RNA, 29 nt
Filed under: Doronicum clusii
Lineage: Eukaryota; Viridiplantae; Streptophyta; Magnoliopsida; Asterales; Asteraceae
Description: partial tRNA-Phe
Source: RNAcentral